Molecule: long non-coding RNA, 274 nt
Organism: Hippoglossus stenolepis (Pacific halibut)
Lineage: Eukaryota; Metazoa; Chordata; Actinopteri; Pleuronectiformes; Pleuronectidae
Exons: 3
Source: RefSeq, a predicted model, not a curated record
CCCCAUGAGCCUGAAGGCAGCCGCCAUCAAACCUGCUCCACAGGUUCUGGAGGAGCUGUGUCAGAAGAACAACUGGGGACAACCAGUGUAUCAGCUCCACUCUGCCAUCGGUCCAGACCAGAGACAACUGUUCCUCUACAAGAUCACUGUCCCAGCUCUGGCUACACAGUAUCCCAGCGUUCAUCCCUUCACCCCUGCUAAACUGUGUGCUGCUGUAGAAGAAGCUAAAGUCCAUGCAGCUGAGCACACCCUGCAGACUCUGGGUCUGCAGACA